GACGAACGCUGGCGGCGUGCUUAACACAUGCGAGUCGAACGGAAAGGCCCUGCUUUUGUGGGGUGCUCGAGUGGCGAACGGGUGAGUAACACGUGAGUAACCUACCCUUGACUUUGGGAUAACUUCAGGAAACUGGGGCUAAUACCGGAUAGGAGCUCCUGCUGCAUGGUGGGGGUUGGAAAGUUUCGGCGGUUGGGGAUGGACUCGCGGCUUAUCAGCUUGUUGGUGGGGUAGUGGCUUACCAAGGCUUUGACGGGUAGCAGGCCUGAGAGGGUGACCGGCCACAUUGGGACUGAGAUACGGCCCAGACUCCUACGGGAGGCAGCAGUGGGGAAUAUUGCACAAUGGGCGGAAGCCUGAUGCAGCAACGCCGCGUGCGGGAUGACGGCCUUCGGGUUGUAAACCGCUUUCGCCUGUGACGAAGCGUGAGUGACGGUAAUGGGUAAAGAAGCACCGGCUAACUACGUG
RNAcentral lists this ribosomal RNA (468 nucleotides) under uncultured bacterium. Its description in RNAcentral is "partial 16S ribosomal RNA". It matches the Rfam family "Bacterial small subunit ribosomal RNA", at positions 28 to 507 of the family's 1533-position model. The record is from RNAcentral.